Molecule: ribosomal RNA, 253 nt
Filed under: uncultured bacterium
Lineage: Bacteria
Description: partial 16S ribosomal RNA
Rfam family: Bacterial small subunit ribosomal RNA
Source: RNAcentral
UACGUAGGGGGCAAGCGUUAUCCGGAUUUACUGGGUGUAAAGGGAGCGUAGACGGCAGCGCAAGUCUGGAGUGAAAUGCCGGGGCUCAACCCCGGAACUGCUUUGGAAACUGUGCAGCUAGAGUGCGGGAGAGGUAAGCGGAAUUCCUAGUGUAGCGGUGAAAUGCGUAGAUAUUAGGAGGAACACCAGUGGCGAAGGCAGCUUACUGGACCGUAACUGACGUUGAGGCUCGAAAGCGUGGGGAGCAAACAGG